RNAcentral lists this ribosomal RNA (453 nucleotides) under uncultured Porphyromonadaceae bacterium. RNAcentral's name for it is "partial 16S ribosomal RNA". It matches the Rfam family "Bacterial small subunit ribosomal RNA", at positions 341 to 792 of the family's 1533-position model. The record is from RNAcentral. Lineage: Bacteria; Pseudomonadati; Bacteroidota; Bacteroidia; Bacteroidales; Porphyromonadaceae.
ACGGGAGGCAGCAGUGAGGAAUAUUGGUCAAUGGGCGGAAGCCUGAACCAGCCAAGUCGCGUGAAGGAUGAAGGUAUUAUGUAUUGUAAACUUCUUUAGACGCAGAGAAAUAAGGGGCUCGUGAGCCCUGAUGCUAGUAUGCGUAGAAUAAGGAUCGGCUAACUCCGUGCCAGCAGCCGCGGUAAUACGGAGGAUCCGAGCGUUAUCCGGAUUUAUUGGGUUUAAAGGGUGCGCAGGCGGUCUUUUAAGUCAGUGGUUAAAUCGUGAGGCUCAACCUCAUCACGCCAUUGAUACUGGAGGACUUGAUCGCGGUUGAGGUUGGCGGAAUUCGCCGUGUAGCGGUGAAAUGCAUAGAUAUGGCGAAGAACUCCGAUUGCGUAGGCAGCUGACCAAGCCGUAAAUGACGCUCAUGCACGAAAGUGCGGGGAUCGAACAGGAUUAGAUACCCUGGUA